UCCGCUUAAUUUUAAGCAUAAAUCCAGAAAUUUAACAAUUAUCACGUGAUCCAAGCCGAAAAUUUUCUGGGUUUUACCAAAGAUUCAAAUUUUCUCCCAUAAUUAACACAAAUAAGAGUUAGAAAUCGUAUAAAAAACUAUUACUAAAUAGACACAUACACAUCAUUAUCCACCAUAAUAAAGAAAAUCAGAGAAAUUUUUUAUUACCUCCAAGAGAGCAAAAGAUUCUGGGCUGGCGAUUAGAGGGAGAGAUUAAAGUCAAUUUAGAAGAGAUUGAUGAAAGUGAGCUGCUAUAAAUGGAAGCCAUUUUGCCCACUUUUUAAAUGAAAAGUAUUAUAAAAACAAGAUUAUCUCAAUCUUGAAUUCCUGUUUGCAUCCCGCUCAGAAUUUGAUCUUUACUUUUGUUAUAUAAACCCCAUAAAAUUUAGGGGAAGAAGGGAUAAUAAAAAGAUAAGGGACGAAUCUAACAAUCUAAUCUUCUUUCGACGUUCGGACCACCUCGUCAGUUCAAACAUGGGUGCGGGGCCCCUGUCCAUUCUUCUUCUUGAUUUUAUUUUUAUUUAUUUUUAUUAAUUACUGCUAUAGGGUCUUCUGAAUUGAGCCAGGCUUGGAAGUUGAGAGUCAACAGGAAAACUUACAGAAACAGCAGUACUUAGAGUCAAUAAUGAAAUGUGGCAAUUUUAUUUGUUAGAGUGAACCAUUUUAUUUUGCAUGAACCAACACAAAUUCACAGCAUCCCGAUAGUUGUCAAGAACAUUUCUUUUAGUUCAAGUACUUCAUAAGAAAAAUUAUUUUCAACAAUUGAGGGAGAUUUAUAAUUAUAAUCAAGGAUUACAAGGAAUAGCAAUAUAGUAUAAUUGUCAAUCCUGGACCAUUCUACCAUGACAAUACCUUGGUUGUCCACAUAACCCCAAGGGGUUGUCCAAGGGGUUUAAGCCGUCAAUCUUUAUGUAAUUGUUGUAAAAUUUUAAUGUGUUUGUUGAAUCAUUUUUAUGAUUCUCAAGCAAUAUUAUGGUAGACCAAAAUCAAUAUUAAGUAGUAAUUAUGAGAAUUGAUUUUUUAACCGUUAGAGAGAAAAGUAGUUUUUAUCUGUGGAUGAAAAAGUCAAAAAUGAAGGCAAGAUUAGAGAAAUAACUGUCAAA
Molecule: long non-coding RNA, 1142 nt
Filed under: Olea europaea (common olive)
Lineage: Eukaryota; Viridiplantae; Streptophyta; Magnoliopsida; Lamiales; Oleaceae
Description: long non-coding RNA (OEUR_LNC013199)
Source: RNAcentral